CGCUCUCUUCUGCCUCCUUGGCGGUGACUGGAAAGAGGUGAAGCUUUCGAAAUGAGAACAUCCUCUUCAUGCCAGAGUAAUGUCAAAGUGCUUACAGUGCAGAUACUGUGCCACAGCAGCUGAAACAAUCGGACGUUUUCCAGUCCAGUUUUUCAAAGCACCCACCAAAACACAUUACAUGGGAGCAGUGGCACAUGCUUGGCAGCCUUCCUAUUUCAAGAAUGAGGAAAGAAUGUCAGGAUAGGGGUAUGAAAUAUCCUCUCGUUCUUUGAUAUGGCUGUUAGAAGCCACUGCCUCAGCACAUGGGUUCAUAAGAUUUAGCCAAUAAUUACAUGCUGUGUGAUAUUUGCAUGGAUAUAAUUAAAUUCCAUAAUUUAUGCAUUACGUAAUAUAUGCAGAAAAAGUGCUUUAACUUUUGGUUACAAGCUUCAUGAAAAAUUAAUAACUUGCAAAUA
Molecule: long non-coding RNA, 455 nt
Organism: Lacerta agilis (Sand lizard)
Lineage: Eukaryota; Metazoa; Chordata; Lepidosauria; Squamata; Lacertidae
Exons: 3
Source: RefSeq, a predicted model, not a curated record